UAUUGUACAUUAUCGUGUGGGUGAGUAACCUGCGUUCAGGUUCGAGCCGAGCGAAGCGAGAUAGCAACGCGGCAGCGUUGACCCAAAGGGCGAGUCCACAGGACGAGUCAUCCCGCACGACCCACCA
This 127-nucleotide small RNA is filed under the name Yersinia enterocolitica. Its description in RNAcentral is "RtT sRNA". It matches the Rfam family "RtT RNA". From Rfam's summary of the family: This family represents a bacterial cis-regulatory element known as RtT RNA. The exact function of RtT is unknown although it is thought that it may be involved in changing the cellular response in relation to amino acid starvation. Lineage: Bacteria; Pseudomonadati; Pseudomonadota; Gammaproteobacteria; Enterobacterales; Yersiniaceae. The record is from RNAcentral. RNAcentral also lists the same sequence under 1 other name.